This 292-nucleotide ribosomal RNA is filed under the name uncultured bacterium. Its description in RNAcentral is "partial 16S ribosomal RNA". It matches the Rfam family "Bacterial small subunit ribosomal RNA", at positions 505 to 796 of the family's 1533-position model. The record is from RNAcentral.
GUGUCAGCCGCCGCGGUAACACGAACUGUGCAAACGUUAUUCGGAAUUACUGGGCUUAAAGAGUUCGUAGGCGGCUUGUUAAGUCGGGUGUGAAAUCCCUCGUCUCAACCGAGGAAUUGCGUUCGAAACUGGCAGGCUUGAGUGAGAUAGAGGUGAGCGGAACUGAUGGUGGAGCGGUGAAAUGCGUUGAUAUCAUCAGGAACACCGGUUGCGAAGGCGGCUCACUGGGUCUUUACUGACGCUGAGGAACGAAAGCUAGGGGAGCGAACGGGAUUAGAAACCCGAGUAGUCC